GAGAGAGAGAGAGAGAGAGACCCAGACUCUUGACAAAAUGAAAUCCAAAAUGGGAUCAAAAUAAGAAAAUGAAUACUCAUAGAUCAUUCUGCUUGUCCUAAUGAUAUCAUGAAAGCUGCUAAGUAUUUCAAGGAUCCACUCCACUCUUGCUGAAUUUUCUUUUUCACAUCCCCACUAAUUAUUGGGAACAUAGGAAAAAACAAGACAUAAAUCUAAAGAGAAAUACCUGGCGAAGGAACCCCUCUAGAGGCCCUAGCUUUCCCAUGGCCA
Molecule: unclassified non-coding RNA, 270 nt
Filed under: Hevea brasiliensis (rubber tree)
Lineage: Eukaryota; Viridiplantae; Streptophyta; Magnoliopsida; Malpighiales; Euphorbiaceae
Source: RNAcentral